UUUGACCCAAACAAAAUAGAGUUAGGGUUAGGGUUUGUGUAUAAACACUCUAAGAAGUGGCAAUCCCCCUCGCGUCUUUACAAUUUGCAGUUGUCUAUUCUAGACCUUGAAGAAUCAAAAAGGGUUUUUCACUCGCGCCAUCUGUUACAAUGAGAGCCAAGUGGAAGAAGAAGCGAAUGAGGAGGUUGAAGAGAAAACGCCGAAAAAUGAGGCAAAGAUCCAAGUAGUUGCAGUUUUAGCUCAACCUUACAAACCCUUAAUUAAUCCUCGCUGUUAUUUCCUUUCUGAACCAUGGAUUAUAUGUUUUUAAUCACUUGAUGUGCGGAAAUUAGUGGGUUUUUCAUUAGUAUUGGGAAUGCUACUUUUUUUAAAAACCCUGAUGUCUCUUGUCCUGCUUUGAUUCUAAAAUUCUAUUCCUAAGUCGCCAAUUGUUGCAAA
Molecule: long non-coding RNA, 438 nt
Organism: Populus euphratica (Euphrates poplar)
Lineage: Eukaryota; Viridiplantae; Streptophyta; Magnoliopsida; Malpighiales; Salicaceae
Exons: 2
Source: RefSeq, a predicted model, not a curated record